ACGUAGGGGGCGAGCGUUAUCCGGAAUCACUGGGCGUAAAGGGCGUCUAGGCGGUCCAGUAAGUCCUGCGUGAAAGCUCCCGGCUCAACUGGGAGAGCGCGUGGGAGACUGUUGGGCUAGAGACUCGGAGAGGGGUGUGGAAUUCCCGGUGGAGUGGUGAAAUGCGUUGAGAUCGGGAGGAACACCAGUGGCGAAGGCGGCACCCUGGCCGAGUUCUGACGCUGAAGCGCGACAGCGUGGGGAGCAAACGGG
This 252-nucleotide ribosomal RNA is filed under the name uncultured bacterium. Its description in RNAcentral is "partial 16S ribosomal RNA". It matches the Rfam family "Bacterial small subunit ribosomal RNA", at positions 525 to 776 of the family's 1533-position model. The record is from RNAcentral.